UACGGAGGGUGCAAACGUUGCUCGGAAUCAUUGGGCGUAAAGCGCACGUAGGCGGCCUGUUAAGUCGGGUGUGAGAUCCCUCGGCUCAACCGAGGAAGUGCAUUCGAAACUGGCAGGCUUGAAUGUGGAAGAGGGUCGUGGAAUUCCCGGUGUAGAGGUGAAAUUCGUAGAUAUCGGGAGGAACACCAGUGGCGAAGGCGGCGACCUGGGCCAACAUUGACGCUGAGGUGCGAAAGCGUGGGGAGCAAACAGG
Molecule: ribosomal RNA, 253 nt
Filed under: uncultured bacterium
Lineage: Bacteria
Description: partial 16S ribosomal RNA
Rfam family: Bacterial small subunit ribosomal RNA
Source: RNAcentral